RNAcentral lists this ribosomal RNA (497 nucleotides) under uncultured bacterium. RNAcentral's name for it is "partial 16S ribosomal RNA". It matches the Rfam family "Bacterial small subunit ribosomal RNA", at positions 28 to 507 of the family's 1533-position model. The record is from RNAcentral.
GAUGAACGCUGGCGGCGUGCCUAAUACAUGCAAGUCGAGCGAACGGACGAGAAGCUUGCUUCUCUGAUGUUAGCGGCGGACGGGUGAGUAACACGUGGAUAACCUACCUAUAAGACUGGGAUAACUUCGGGAAACCGGAGCUAAUACCGGAUAAUAUUUUGAACCGCACGGUUCAAAAGUGAAAGACGGUCUUGCUGUCACUUAUAGAUGGAUCCGCGCUGCAUUAGCUAGUUGGUAAGGUAACGGCUUACCAAGGCAACGAUGCAUAGCCGACCUGAGAGGGUGAUCGGCCACACUGGAACUGAGACACGGUCCAGACUCCUACGGGAGGCAGCAGUAGGGAAUCUUCCGCAAUGGGCGAAAGCCUGACGGAGCAACGCCGCGUGAGUGAUGAAGGUCUUCGGAUCGUAAAACUCUGCUAUUAGGGAAGAACAUAUGUGUAAGUAACUGUGCACAUCUUGACGGUACCUAAUCAGAAAGCCACGGCUAACUACGUG